This is a small nuclear RNA of Salvia hispanica, 196 nucleotides long. RefSeq annotates it as U2 spliceosomal RNA. The record is from RefSeq and is a predicted model, not a curated record. Lineage: Eukaryota; Viridiplantae; Streptophyta; Magnoliopsida; Lamiales; Lamiaceae.
ACCUUUUUUUCAACCUUUUGGCUAAGAUCAAAUGUAGUAUCUGUUCUUGUCAGCUUAAUAUUUGAUGUGUGGCCCAUUGGCUCGCAUGAUUUUAAAUUUAUUUUUUAAGGAAGCAGAUCUAUCAAGGUAGCUUGCUACUUGGAUUUGUGAACGUCGCUCAUAUGUUGCACUAUUGCAUGGACCUGACGCACCCAAC